GUACGCUGGCGGCACGCCUAACACAUGCAAGUCGAACGAAGUAGCAAUACUUAGUGGCAGACGGGUGAGUAACAUGUAGGUAUCUGCCCUUUGGCCUGGAAUAACACGAGGAAACUUGUGCUAAUACCGGAUAAGUCUUUACGGAGAAAGCUUUAUGCACCAUUGGAUGAGCCUGCACUUGAUUAGUUUGUUGGUGGGGUAAUGGCCUACCAAGACUGUGAUCAAUAGCUGAUUUGAGAGGAUGAUCAGCCACAUUGGGACUGAGACACGGCCCAAACUCCUACGGGAGGCAGCAGUGGGGAAUCUUGCACAAUGGAGGAAACUCUGAUGCAGCGAUGCCGCGUGAGUGAAGAAGGCCCUUGGGUUGUAAAGCUCUUUCGUCGGGGAAGAAAAUGACUGUACCCGAAUAAGAAGGUC
Molecule: ribosomal RNA, 417 nt
Filed under: uncultured bacterium
Lineage: Bacteria
Description: bacterial SSU rRNA
Rfam family: Bacterial small subunit ribosomal RNA
Source: RNAcentral